Long non-coding RNA from Lolium perenne, 199 nucleotides. RefSeq lists it as uncharacterized. The record is from RefSeq and is a predicted model, not a curated record. NCBI's taxonomy places the organism in Eukaryota, Viridiplantae, Streptophyta, Magnoliopsida, Poales, Poaceae.
CCGGAUCGGCGUGCUGCCGCGACCGGCCGAAGCCCCAUUUCUUCUUGUCCCUUUCGCUGCGGUACUGCGGCGGCGGCGGCGGCUGCGAGUACUGCGCUACCAGUUGCCCCUGCAUCCAUUCGUCUCAACGAUCAGACUGUGUAUUUGUCGCUACGAUACACCUGCACCUGUCUACAUGCCCAUACAGCUGGCAUUCAGU